Molecule: microRNA, 23 nt
Filed under: Python bivittatus (Burmese python)
Lineage: Eukaryota; Metazoa; Chordata; Lepidosauria; Squamata; Pythonidae
Description: pbv-miR-449b-3p
Gene: pbv-miR-449b-3p
Source: miRBase by way of RNAcentral
CAGUCGCUACCACACUGCUAUCU